RNAcentral lists this ribosomal RNA (235 nucleotides) under uncultured bacterium. RNAcentral's name for it is "partial 16S ribosomal RNA". It matches the Rfam family "Bacterial small subunit ribosomal RNA", at positions 99 to 334 of the family's 1533-position model. The record is from RNAcentral.
CGGACGGGUGAGUAACGCGUGGGUAACCUGCCUUGUACCGGGGGACAACAGUUAGAAAUGACUGCUAAUACCGCAUAAGCGCACAGUAUCGCAUGAUACAGUGUGAAAAACUCCGGUGGUACAAGAUGGACCCGCGUCUGAUUAGCUAGUUGGUAAGGUAACGGCUUACCAAGGCGACGAUCAGUAGCCGACCUGAGAGGGUGACCGGCCACAUUGGGACUGAGACACGGCCCAA